AGUGAACGCUGGCGGUAGGCCUAACACAUGCAAGUCGAACGGCAGCACAGUAAGAGCUUGCUCUUACGGGUGGCGAGUGGCGGACGGGUGAGGCAUACAUCGGAAUCUACUUUUUCGUGGGGGAUAACGUAGGGACACUGACGCUAAUACCGCAUACGACCUACGGGAGAAAGCAAGAGAUCUUCGGACCUUGCGCGAUUGAAUGAGCCGAUGUCGGAUUAGCUAGUUGGCGGGGUAAAGGCCCACCAAGGCGACGAUCCGUAGCUGGUCUGAGAGGAUGAUCCGCCACACUGGAACUGAGACACGGUCCAGACUCCUACGGGAGGCAGCAGUGGGGAAUAUUCGGCAAUGGGCGCAAGCCUGACCCAGCCAUGCCGCGUGGGUGAAGAAGGCCUUCGGGUCGUAAAGCCCUUUUGUUGGGAAAGAAGAGCAGCAGGUUAAUCCCCCGCUGUUCUGACGGUACCCAAAGAAUAAGCACCGGCUAACUUCGUG
RNAcentral lists this ribosomal RNA (492 nucleotides) under uncultured bacterium. Its description in RNAcentral is "partial 16S ribosomal RNA". It matches the Rfam family "Bacterial small subunit ribosomal RNA", at positions 29 to 507 of the family's 1533-position model. The record is from RNAcentral.